GUCUCCUUUCACUCAUGUAAUCUCUCUCUCUCUCUCUCUCUCUCUCUCUCUCUCUCUCCUUCGUUCGAGCAGACAGUUCAUGUGUAUGUAGCAUUGUAAUCUCUCUGCAUCCACCAUUUUUACUCCUUAUACAUUCACGAUUCCUAUUCCCCUACCAUUAACGGAGAGAGAGAGAGAGAAUGCAGCACAAGCUGGGGCUCUGGAUCUGAAAUCUUUUUCACGAAGUCAAAACGAAAGGAUGGGGGUCUUGGGCGAAUCCUGGUGCUUCUGCAGCGGCGGAGGCAAGUCCGAGAGGAUCAAAGCCGCCAUUUUAUCCGGCAAAGGCCCGGCCAUGGCGAGAAUAGCAGGCGUCGGCGCAGGAGGGAUUUCCAGCACCGGAUUUUUAAUCCACCGGAACCUGCUGUUGACGUCGCACGUCAACCUCCCGUCGGUGGCCGCCGCCGAGGCCGUGGAGAUCCGCCUGCAGAACGGCGUCGCUGCCAGCCUUUAUCCGCACAGGUUUUUCGUCACCAGUUCUGUUCUUGAUCUUACAAUAGUGGGUGUGGAUGCCAAGGAUGCAGACUCAAAUGCUCAGGGGCAGCAACCCCACUACUUGAAAACCUGCUCUAAACCAAAUCUUGAACUUGGUAGUGCAGUUUAUCUUUUGGGCUACACGAAAAAAAACGAGUUGACAGUUGGUGAAGGAAAAGUCGUUAUAGCCACUGACAAUCUCAUAAAGCUGUCCACUGACUCUGUAACUUGGAGCCCUGGUUCUGCUGGCUUUGAUGUGCAAGGCAAUCUUUCAUUUAUGGUCUGUGAUCCCAUGAAGCUAGCAACAUCUCCACACACAAAAUCUUCUUCGACUUCAUCAUCUUCAUCUUCAUCUGUGAAGAAGGAUCUUCCUAUGCAAUUUGGUAUACCCAUUCCCAUCAUCUGUGAUUGGUUAGCCCAGCAUUGGGAGGGUAACCUUGAUGAACUCAACAAACCUAAGUUGCCACUCGUCAGGUUGAUGUCGGCUGGCCGGAAGUGCGAUUCCUUCACAAUGAAGAGGGUCUUCAAGUCAACAGAUCCUGAAAACAAUGGAACACCAUCGCCAUCCAUUGCAAUGUUGAAAACAAACGAUAAGCCGGGACCAAGCUGCUCUGCUGCGGCAAACACAUUUGACGAUGAAACCCUAACUGCUGAUCCGCGUGCUGCAAGCCAUGUGCAGGGGAUUCCAAAACCACAAAUUUAUGAAUCGCGAAAAUUGACCUCUGUCCCGACAAGGAUGAAGGAAAAUAGCCAAAUCCAACUCUUAGAUAUUAGUUUUCCUCCGAAGGUUGCCAAAACUCCAGUGUUGCAGCAACCUGCCAAGAGGCUGCUUGCCCCUUACUCUGACGAAAAUACCCUCAAGGAAGUUCCUCUGCAGCAGCCAUUGAGAGAAGAAAGAUUUAGUGACAGAAGACAGAUAGGUCCAAUGGCAGAUGCUGACAUGGCCUCAACUGGUUCUGUAAACGGGGGCCAUAGUGAGGUCCUGUCCAGUUCAUCCCCAAUAGAGGUGUCGGAGAUGCAGAAUGGGUAUUAUAGCAGUGAGGGAGAAACUACAAUGUAUUCAGCAGAAACAGCUGAAAGUCGUAAUUAUACGAGUCCAAUGGAGGGAAAGUUUCAGCAAGUAGGGAGGAGUCAGAGCUGUGUGAGUUACAACAGAUGGGGAGCUGUUCAAAGAAAUCCUGUGGUUCGAAAGGAGGUGCUAGAAACACGAAGGAGUUUUAUGCAAGGAAGACAGAUAUAUUCGCAAGGGGCGACUUCUCAGAGAAGUAAUGACUUUUUCAGCCCAACCCUCUCCUCCAUCAUGAAAAAGCGGAACAAUUCAGAGCAGCCAAAGCUGCCAAACAGGCCCCGGCCGAGUGUGGUCCAUUCAUCUCCGAGAUGGAUGUUCUAACUACAGGGACACCAUUAGUUUUUACAUUUCGGUUGAAUGCGGACUCAUUUAGUUCCUAUUUGCCCAUACUGUAUCUAAUUUAUUGCGAUUAUAUGUGCAGAACAAUGCCAAAGAUAUAUAAAAAUUCCACAGGAUUCCAGCGAUCUGUUGUCCAUCUCGGAAAGAAACUGACAACGUGCCCAAAACUUGGGAGGUAGAAGCGUCUACGAUCUACAAUCAAGGUGAGUUUCCAGCAAAACACCUUACAGUUGCCGUCUGGUAGUAAUAUAGUAGAGAAAGAGUGAAAAGGG
RNA transcript from Rhododendron vialii, 2190 nucleotides. RefSeq lists it as uncharacterized. The record is from RefSeq and is a predicted model, not a curated record. The transcript is spliced from 3 exons. NCBI's taxonomy places the organism in Eukaryota, Viridiplantae, Streptophyta, Magnoliopsida, Ericales, Ericaceae.